UCCCAAGGGAGCUCGGUGUAUCAGAUCACCAU
RNAcentral lists this non-coding RNA (32 nucleotides) under Homo sapiens (human). The record is from RNAcentral. Lineage: Eukaryota; Metazoa; Chordata; Mammalia; Primates; Hominidae.